CCGUGGGCUGCAGUGAGGAAUAUUGGUCAAUGGGCGAGAGCCUGAACCAGCCAAGUCGCGUGAGGGAGUACUGCCCUAUGGGUUGUAAACCUCUUUUGUCGGGGAGCAAAAGCCGGACGUGUCCGGCUGUGAGAGUACCCGCAGAAAAAGCAUCGGCUAACUCCGUGCCAGCAGCCGCGGUAAUACGGAGGAUGCGAGCGUUAUCCGGAUUUAUUGGGUUUAAAGGGUGCGCAGGCGGAGGCACAAGUCAGCGGUAAAAUCGCGGGGCUCAACCCCGCUCCGCCGUUGAAACUGUGUCCCUUGAGUGCGCGAAGGGUAGGCGGAAUGCGUGGUGUAGCGGUGAAAUGCAUAGAUAUCACGCAGAACUCCGAUCGCGAAGGCAGCCUACCGGCGCGCAACUGACGCUCAUGCACGAAAGCGUGGGUAUCGAACAGGAUUAGAUACCCGGGUAGUC
RNAcentral lists this ribosomal RNA (454 nucleotides) under uncultured bacterium. RNAcentral's name for it is "partial 16S ribosomal RNA". It matches the Rfam family "Bacterial small subunit ribosomal RNA", at positions 342 to 795 of the family's 1533-position model. The record is from RNAcentral.